This 400-nucleotide ribosomal RNA is filed under the name uncultured bacterium. RNAcentral's name for it is "bacterial SSU rRNA". It matches the Rfam family "Bacterial small subunit ribosomal RNA", at positions 355 to 752 of the family's 1533-position model. The record is from RNAcentral.
UAAGGAAUAUUGGUCAAUGCCCGCAAGGGUGAACCAGCCAUUCCGCGUGGAGGAUGAAGGCCCUAUGGGUUGUAAACUUCUUUUAGAUGGGAAGAAAAUGCUAGAUUUUUCUGGUACUGACGGUACCAUCAGAAUAAGCACCGGCUAACUCCGUGCCAGCAGCCGCGGUAAUACGGAGGGUGCGAGCGUUAUCCGGAAUUACUGGGUUUAAAGGGUGCGUAGGCGGAUGAUUAAGUCUAAGGUGAAAGUUUGUCGCUUAACGAUAAAAUUGCCUUGGAUACUGGUUAUCUUGAAUAAGGAUGAGGAUGGCGGAAUGUGGCAUGUAGCGGUGAAAUGCAUAGAUAUGCCAUAGAACACCAAUUGCGAAGGCAGCUAUCUGGUCUUUUAUUGACGCUGAGGC